This is a long non-coding RNA of Cyprinus carpio carpio, 3177 nucleotides long. NCBI's taxonomy places the organism in Eukaryota, Metazoa, Chordata, Actinopteri, Cypriniformes, Cyprinidae. The record is from Ensembl.
AGACCAGCUGCAGUGGCAACAUGGCUGCCCAAGCGAACAAAAAGACACCUAAAUUGAGGUCAAGCAUUCUGACAGAUCCAAGCUGGAAUGCAAGUGGGUCGGCAACCCCCAGUUCAGGAUCGGAAAUCAUUCCUCUCAUGCCUCAGAGCGGAGUAGUGCUGACGCUGGAACUGAGCAGGCCAGGGGAAUACCCUGUGGGCUUUACCUGUCUCUCUGAGACUACAAACAUUAAUGUUGGCCGUGUGGGUCCAAUAAAAUGUUGCUUACAUACUGAAUCAAAUGUUUAAAACUGAAUCAAGGGCAAAAAUCUGUUUUUCUCCACAGCUGUUCAGAUUAAGUGUCUUUUUAUUAUUAAUUAGCCUUUCUUUCUUCUACAUAUUACUACAUAUUUAUGGCUGAAAAAUAUUUUCUGAGCAGCCUGUGCCACGGCAUCAACAGAGCUCUUUUGUUCUUGAUCAUGAACUUUCAAACCUAAGGACUGUGUGUGACAUUGAACUAGUGAGGACUCAACAAUAUGGCCCAGUAGCCCAGGGCCAGCUUAUGAAACUGUAUGUAGACAUACAGUAUAUACUACAGUUGGUGUGUGUGUGUGUGUGUGUGUGUGUGUGUGUGUGUGUGUGUGUGUGUGUGUGUGUGUGUGUGUGUGAAAAAUAAUGGAAUAGAAAACACUUCUUUCAAAUUGUGAUAAGAUUUCUCAUUGUUACUGCUUUUGAAAUUUUAUUCAAAUAAAUGCAGCUUUGCAGUUAAAAAAAUAUCUUUAUCUAAAAAAAAAAAAAGUGACCAUCCCUAAAAAUUUGAACAGUAAUGUUUACUACUAUUGCCUUAACUUUUGUUAGAUGUUGCUAGAUCAUUUUAGGUUUCAUAAAAUACCCCUCUGUGCUUCUUCAGUCUUGAUUAUCUAGUGUUAUAACAAACCUGAUCUGUGUCUAAUGAGAGCAAUCAAACAUCAGUGGAGACCAAACACUGUUUCCCUGGGGGUCUAGAUAUUUCACAUUGAAUACAGAUCAACCAUUUACAUAUUAUGUUAUGAAUAAAUUAAUGUUUUCAUUCACCAACAGAUGCGAUGUCAGAAACACACAAUCAGAGGCUAAAUUAACAGUCCAGUUAUAACCAUUACAAUAACCAGGGGAGCUCCAAACACAGGACCAAACCAAACACAACAUCCUUUGGUUUGUUACUUGCUAACACAGAUUGGGUUAAAUCACUUUAGUAAGAGAGAAUGUACUCCAUAACAAAAAUAAUUUUUUUUCCCUUCUAUAUGUCAUUUUUUUCAGUAAUACCAGUAUUAUAAUGUUAGUUUGUGUAUAAUAAUGCAUUGUUUAUUGUGAGAAGAUUUGUAUGUUGUUUAUUGAGUACAUUUACAUAUAUCACUCUGUUUAUAUAUGGUACUAUGACAAAGUGAUUUGAAUCAUUUCUGAGCAUGUUAUUUGUUUCUUGGUUUUACAAGGCUGGGUGGGGGUGGGGGAUUGUGGAUAGAAAGCUUUUGUCUUUUCUUUGUUUUUUGAUAACCUUUCUAGAUUGUAACUCAUAAUCCAGAUUGCAGAUUAGCAGCUGUUGAUGCAGUGGUCUGAGUAUUAAUCUCCACAACUGGGUGCUCCUAUCAUCUACCUGGAUGAGGCAAGGGUCAAACCGGUCAGAAAGAGAGAGAUCCAAAACAAGCAAGUCCUACUUAUUUAAUUUGUGGCAGCUUGUGAUAACCAGCUUUAUGGGUGGCUGUCACUAUAGGAGGAUAACUCAGGAUUAUUCUUCUUGGCAACAACAAAAUGGGCAAGCAUCAUGCAAAUAAUCCUCAUGGAAUCCUUGAGGAAGAUGAUUGAGGCCUCUGGAAUAACAUCCCGAGGUCUUCCUGUUUUGUGUAAAGGGUCAGUACACCAUCUGUUUGUGAGAUGAAUGUAUAGAAAUGCACUAUUUUUUUUGUGUAUACUUGCAUAUUUGUGUUUACAAACAGUGGACAGGUGGUACAGUUUUUUUUUAGUGCAGUGGUUAGCAAAUGGUUUAGCUUCAGGUUCCAGAUUUUGCUUUAGAUAUAUGUGAGGGUGACCAUAAAUCCUCUUUUUCCUAGGUGUAUCCUGGCCGGGAUUUCUAAAUGAAAGUGUGUGACCCAAACACUGUACCAAGAUUGUGAAAAGUUCCAAAGAAUAAUGAGGACCUAUAACCAAGUUCUCAGGUGUAAACAACAUGUGCUAGAUCUUUUUCCGUCUCAGUGGAGCAGUAAAGGACACGCUCAGUCACUGCUGCCUGCACCACUUUUGUAACUCUGCUUAUACAACAUGACUCAGACGGCCGUCAGGUGGUAGAGCACAGAGGUCAUGACAGAACACGCUGAGGGGGUGGAAAGCAAACAUACUUUCAAAGCACCAAUGAUGUUAUAGUGCACUCUUAUAGGCACACCAACAGAACACAUUUUGGAUGCCCCCCUCAUCUGAGCCAUCCAUUUCAGGUCUUGGAAUCUCUGCUAAUGAGCUGAUGAGUUGAUUCAGUGACAGCAUGGUGAGUCAGCUCCCCUGAAGAGCGCUGGACUUUCCUAGCAUUGCUGUGAUACCCGAGUGCUUUGCAGAAACAGGCAGCACUUCCCAUCAAGCAGCGAUCAGUCAUUUACCCUCACCUGCAGCUCACUGUUCACACACAGGGGCAAAUUUUCUCUGUCCCUGCCUCGCUGUGCCUCACGCCUCUUUCUCAAUUCACCUCGUGCCACGCUGAGCAGUCCGAACAGUGGACGGAGAGGUGCGUGUGUUAUCAGCCCACUGAGAGAUAAUGCCACACAGGGUCUCAUUGUCUUUCACGUGCACUUGUGAGCGGGGAGAUGUGGAAAGAAGGCUGACCUGCACAUUUAGAGCUAAAUAUUCAGGAAUGACACCAUCCAAGGGUUCAUGAUGACAGAAAAGAUGAUGAGUCUCCCAUAAUGAACAGGUUACAUGAGGUUACAUAAAUAGAACAGGUUACAGGUUUGGAUAGGGACAUUUCACCCUAAAUGGAAUGUUUUGUCAUCAUUUACUAACUUUUUUUUUUCUUUUUUCUUUUUUUUUUAGGAUUUUUUUCUUCUGUGGAGCACAUUUGUAGAUGAUUAGUUUUAUGUCUUUUAUUUGUAUGUAAGGUGUCCUUGAGUGUCAUGUAAUAAUACAAUUUGUUAUUAUUAUUAUUAUUAUUAUUAUUAUUAUUAUUAUUAUUAUUAGCAGA